RNAcentral lists this ribosomal RNA (428 nucleotides) under bacterium. RNAcentral describes it as "partial 16S ribosomal RNA". It matches the Rfam family "Bacterial small subunit ribosomal RNA", at positions 355 to 776 of the family's 1533-position model. The record is from RNAcentral.
UAGGGAAUCUUCCACAAUGGACGAAAGUCUGAUGGAGCAACGCCGCGUGAGUGAAGAAGGAUUUCGGUUCGUAAAACUCUGUUGUAAGGGAAGAACAAGUACAGUAGUAACUGGCUGUACCUUGACGGUACCUUAUUAGAAAGCCACGGCUAACUACGUGCCAGCAGCCGCGGUAAUACGUAGGUGGCAAGCGUUGUCCGGAAUUAUUGGGCGUAAAGCGCGCGCAGGCGGUCCUUACGUCUGAUGUGAAAGCCCACGGCUCAACCGUGGAGGGUCAGUGGAAACUGGGAGACUUGAGUGCAGAAGAGGAAAGUGGAAUUCCAAGUGUAGCGGUGAAAUGCGUAGAGAUUUGGAGGAACACCAGUGGCGAAGGCGACUUUCUGGUCUGUAACUGACGCUGAGGCGCGAAAGCGUGGGGAGCAAACAGG